This 498-nucleotide ribosomal RNA is filed under the name uncultured bacterium. RNAcentral's name for it is "bacterial SSU rRNA". It matches the Rfam family "Bacterial small subunit ribosomal RNA", at positions 66 to 543 of the family's 1533-position model. The record is from RNAcentral.
ACGCGAAAGCUCCCUUCGGGGAGCAAGUAGAGUGGCGCACGGGUGAGUAACACGUAGGUAAUCUACCUUUGGAUGGGGAAUAACAACCGGAAACGGUUGCUAAUACCGCAUAAUGCAGCGGCACCUAAUGGUGACAGUUGUUAAAGCGGGGGAUCGCAAGACCUCGCGUCUGAAGAGGAGCCUGCGGCAGAUUAGCUAGUUGGUAAGGUAACGGCUUACCAAGGCGAUGAUCUGUAGCCGGCCUGAGAGGGCGGUCGGCCACACUGACACUGACAUACGGGUCAGACUCCUACGGGAGGCAGCAGUCGGGAAUUUUGGGCAAUGGGCGAAAGCCUGACCCAGCAACGCCGCGUGAAGGAUGAAAUCCCUCGGGAUGUAAACUUCGCAAGAACGGGAAGAAUAAGUAAGAGUUAAUAUCUCUUACGAUGACGGUACUGUUUGUAAGCUCCGGCUAACUCCGUGCCAGCAGCCGCGGUAAUACGGGGGGAGCAAGCGUUG